ACCAUCUUUCCUAUUUACACUUAUCUACCUAUCUAGGUUAAGUUAGAGCGUAGAUCAGUUAUCCCGUUUCCCUGUGGAUACGAUAAAACCUUUAACCGGGUAAAAGCUACAACGGUAUCCGUGCGCUUGCGGAUUUAUCUGUGUGCGUAUAAAUACCAUAGUAUACUCUAUUGCCAUGCUGGGGAUGACAACCUAGUAUUCAAGUGGUGUUAGCAAGUGUCAACAAGCAUUUUUGGUGCCGUUGCCGGGGAGACGGUUGCAGAGUUGACUACGAACUAGCUUAAUCAUUUUCUAAAAAAAUAAAAAUAAAUAUAUAUUUUCCUUUUAUCCUUUGCCUCAUCUCUGCUAUUCUUUCCUCUUAUCUAUUCCUUGAUUUUUGGUCUAUCAUGAAUGCAAACAUGUCUAUCUAUCAGUUUCAUAGACC
RNAcentral lists this long non-coding RNA (424 nucleotides) under Sorghum bicolor (sorghum). RNAcentral describes it as "long non-coding RNA (SBIC_LNC010128)". Lineage: Eukaryota; Viridiplantae; Streptophyta; Magnoliopsida; Poales; Poaceae. The record is from RNAcentral.